UAGGGAAUAUUAGAAAUGGACGAAAGUCUGAUCUAGCAACACCGCGUGUGCGAUGAAGGCCUUCGGGUUGUAAAGCACUUUUUGGUAGGAUUAGGAAGGAAUGUACUUCCAGAAUAAGUCUCGGCUAACUACGUGCCAGCAGCCGCGGUAACACGUAGGAGGCGAACGUUAUCCGGAUUUACUGGGCGUAAAGCGCGUGUAGGUGGUUCUGUAAGUAGGGCGUGAAAGCUCCUGGCUCAACUGGGAGAGGCCGUUCUAAACUGCAGAGCUAGAGGAUGGUAGAGGGAGGUGGAAUUCCGGGCGUAGCGGUGGAAUGCGCAGAUAUCCGGAGGAACACCAGUGGCGAAGGCGGCCUCUUGGACCAUUCCUGACACUCAGACGCGAAAGCUAGGGUAGC
This 397-nucleotide ribosomal RNA is filed under the name uncultured bacterium. Its description in RNAcentral is "bacterial SSU rRNA". It matches the Rfam family "Bacterial small subunit ribosomal RNA", at positions 355 to 769 of the family's 1533-position model. The record is from RNAcentral.